This 377-nucleotide ribosomal RNA is filed under the name uncultured bacterium. Its description in RNAcentral is "bacterial SSU rRNA". It matches the Rfam family "Bacterial small subunit ribosomal RNA", at positions 521 to 896 of the family's 1533-position model. The record is from RNAcentral.
UAAUACGUAGGGGGCUAGCGUUGUCCGGAAUCAUUGGGCGUAAAGCGCGUGUAGGCGGUCCGGUAAGUCCGCUGUGAAAGUCGGGGGCUCAACCCUCGGAUGCCGGUGGAUACUGUCGGGCUUGAGUACGGAAGAGGCGAGUGGAAUUCCUGGUGUAGCGGUGAAAUGCGCAGAUAUCAGGAGGAACACCAAUUGCGAAGGCAGCUCGCUGGGACGUUACUGACGCUGAGACGCGAAAGCGUGGGGAGCAAACAGGAUUAGAUACCCUGGUAGUCCACGCCGUAAACGAUGGGCACUAGGUGCCUGGGGGAGCGACCCCCUGGGUGCCGGCGCUAACGCAUUAAGUGCCCCGCCUGGGGAGUACGGCCGCAAGGCUG